AGUGAACGCUCGCGGUAGGCCUAACACAUGCAAGUCGAACGGCAGCACAGUAAGAGCUUGCUCUUACGGGUGGCGAGUGGCGGACGGGUGAGGAAUACAUCGGAAUCUACUUUUUCGUGGGGGAUAACGUAGGGAAACUUACGCUAAUACCGCAUACGACCUACGGGUGAAAGCAGGGGAUCUUCGGACCUUGCGCGAUUGAAUGAGCCGAUGUCGGAUUAGCUAGUUGGCGGGGUAAAGGCCCACCAAGGCGACGAUCCGUAGCUGGUCUGAGAGGAUGAUCAGCCACACUGGAACUGAGACACGGUCCAGACUCCUACGGGAGGCAGCAGUGGGGAAUAUUGGACAAUGGGCGCAAGCCUGAUCCAGCCAUACCGCGUGGGUGAAGAAGGCCUUCGGGUUGUAAAGCCCUUUUGUUAGGAAAGAAAAGCAGCAGGUUAAUACCCCGCUGUUCUGACGGUACCCAAAGAAUAAGCACCGGCUAACUUCGUG
RNAcentral lists this ribosomal RNA (492 nucleotides) under uncultured bacterium. RNAcentral describes it as "partial 16S ribosomal RNA". It matches the Rfam family "Bacterial small subunit ribosomal RNA", at positions 29 to 507 of the family's 1533-position model. The record is from RNAcentral.